Molecule: ribosomal RNA, 155 nt
Filed under: uncultured bacterium
Lineage: Bacteria
Description: partial 16S ribosomal RNA
Rfam family: Bacterial small subunit ribosomal RNA
Source: RNAcentral
UGAGGAAUAUUGGUCAAUGGGCGUAAGCCUGAACCAGCCAUCCCGCGUGCAGGAAGACGGCGCUAUGCGUUGUAAACUGCUUUUCCAGGGAAAGAAAACCCCCGACGUGUCGGGGCUUGCCGGUACCCUGGGAAUAAGCAUCGGCUAACUCCGUG